UCAUCUUGAUAUCUCUUCAAGCAUUUUGAGUAUACGCUUGGUAUCUGGUCUCAAGGAUGGUGAUGGGUUACAGCAAGCAGUUGCCAGUUCAAAGAAUGCAUUUAGGUUCUGCUCCUUGCCUGAGUUCUUACUUUGCUUGACUAGCUCAGAACUGAAUGCAUCCGAUAUCUUCCUCUCCAGAACUAGAUCUUUGAAAGAGGAAGGCAGGUGGAUGUCACGGGCAUUGGGUGAGCUACUGUUUGCUGCCUCCUUUUGAGCAAGCAUCUCCAGAAGAAUUACCCCCAAGCUGUAGAUAUCACUCUCCCUGGUGGCUUCUCUCAUCUUGAUCAGCUCUGGAGCCUUGUAGCCCUGCAUUGCAGAUGCUUCAAGCAUCUGUUGAGCGGCAGCAGGAUUCAGCAGAAGGUAGAGGCCAAAGUCGGAUAUCCUUGGCUGGAAAUCGGCAUCAAGCAUAAUGUUGUUUGUCUUAAGGUUGCCAUGGACAAUUGGCUUCUGUGACCCUGAGUGAAGGUGGUCCAGUCCCUUGACAAUGCCAAUAGAUAACUUGCAAAUUAUGCCCCAUUUCUGUGAAACAUUGAUUCCCUCUUGCAAGAACCGCCGGAGCGAGCCGGCGGCGUAGAAGGGGUGCACGAGCAGCAUCUCCCCACGCGGGCCGACGUAGAGCGCGCGGAUCGGGACGAGGUUGGGGUGCUGCAGGGCGCCGAGGAGCCGCGCCGCCGCCGUGGCCUCGUCGGCGGCCGCGGCGCAGACCGGGCGGACGAACCGGAGCAGCGCCACCGCCUCGCCGGCGCUCAGCCCGGCGCGGUACAGCGUGCUGUGGCCCGACUUGGCCACCACCUCCCCGGGCGCCUCGAGAAUCGCGGCCACCGUGAGCCCCUCGCCCCCGGGGAACCUCACGAGCGCCUCCUCCGCCCCGCCGGCGCAGCCGGCGCCGUACCCGCUCGUCCCUCCACCCGACUGGAACCGGUCCGCCCUCGCGCCGUGCGACGGCAGCACCGCGCCCCGCCGCCGCCGCCGCCUCUGCCGCCGCUGGCACCGGACCACGAAGUAGCCGAGCACCAGCGCGACGAGCACGGCGAGGACCGCGGAGGCGGCGGCGGCGGGGGCGGCGGGAGCAGAGGCGGAGAGCACGGGGAGAGGGUCAGGUCGGCAUCGAGGACUGAGGACGGCGAAGGGAUGGCAUGCUCUCGUACGCCGCCGUAUCUCGCCUUGCGGAGG
This 1215-nucleotide small RNA is filed under the name Oryza sativa Japonica Group (Japanese rice). RNAcentral describes it as "sRNA Os04g0548450". Lineage: Eukaryota; Viridiplantae; Streptophyta; Magnoliopsida; Poales; Poaceae. The record is from RNAcentral.